GAUGAACGCUGGCGGCGUGCUUAACACAUGCAAGUCGAACGGUGAAGCAGGAGCUUGCUCUUGUGGAUCAGUGGCGAACGGGUGAGUAACACGUGAGCAACCUGCCCCUGACUCUGGGAUAAGCGCUGGAAACGGCGUCUAAUACUGGAUAUGUGAUGUGACCGCAUGGUCUGCAUCUGGAAAGAAUUUCGGUUGGGGAUGGGCUCGCGGCCUAUCAGCUUGUUGGUGAGGUAAUGGCUCACCAAGGCGUCGACGGGUAGCCGGCCUGAGAGGGUGACCUGCCACACUGGGACUGAGACACGGCGCAGACUCCUACGGGAGGCAGCAGUGGGGAAUAUUGCACAAUGGGCGGAGGCCUGAUGCAGCAACGCCGCGUGAGGGAUGACGGCCUUCGGGUUGUAAACCUCUUUUAGCAGGGAAGAAGCGAAAGUGACGGUACCUGCAGAAAAAGCACCGGCUAACUACGUGCCAGCCGCCGCCGUAA
RNAcentral lists this ribosomal RNA (484 nucleotides) under uncultured bacterium. Its description in RNAcentral is "partial 16S ribosomal RNA". It matches the Rfam family "Bacterial small subunit ribosomal RNA", at positions 28 to 523 of the family's 1533-position model. The record is from RNAcentral.